Molecule: long non-coding RNA, 254 nt
Filed under: Coffea arabica (coffee)
Lineage: Eukaryota; Viridiplantae; Streptophyta; Magnoliopsida; Gentianales; Rubiaceae
Description: long non-coding RNA (CARA_LNC002597)
Source: RNAcentral
CUACCACCACGCUAACUUCAGAGAUAACAGUAUAUAACUUAGCCAAUCGACAGUUCCUAAAUACUUCCAGUGACGCUCGCAAAAGAUAAGGAUUUACUAUACUAACACAAACAUACAAACUGAGUAUUAGAAUUAGAGAUUACACUUUCCAGCUUCAAGUGGCAACCCAAAAUGAAAAGUACAAUGCUUAGCUUAGAAUCCGUUACAAACCGAAAAUUACAAUCAAAUUGUUCAAGUACAACCAUAAGAAAUAU